This is a long non-coding RNA of Athalia rosae (coleseed sawfly), 1392 nucleotides long. RefSeq lists it as uncharacterized. The transcript has 4 exons. Lineage: Eukaryota; Metazoa; Arthropoda; Insecta; Hymenoptera; Athaliidae. The record is from RefSeq and is a predicted model, not a curated record.
CUGAUUCUACGUUUAGCACGAUCUUUCUGACUCCGAGACGCGCAGAAGCGUCGCGCCUGGACCGGGCCUCCUGCACAGAAGCGUCUGCGUGAGUUAGCCGGUUCUGCAUCGUGAAAAACAAUUAUGUAAUUUCAUUUACAACAAGGGCAAAAAAAAUUCAUGACAAUCAUCGACGAAACCACCUGAUCUUAUUUGAUAGAAAUUUCGUUCGUUUAAUCUCGCUGAUCUGUGUGAUAAAGAUCAAUUUUUAAUACGGUUUGUAUCGUUUUUGUGCCAAGAACGGCAAAAGCCGACAUUGCUGCUAUUUUUUCCUUUUUUGAGAAGGAUAAAAAACCUAUAAAUAGAUCAUGAUAAAGAUCAUGAUUGAAUUUUAUAUCUAAUUGUUACGAUAAAAUGAAGCCGGGUUGUGACAGAUCGACGAUAACAUGAUAUUUGAAGAAUAUCGAAACGUACGAGAUACCUAUUUUUUAUAAUCGUAAGAAUCGCUUUUCGAAUAUCUUUGUCCAUUCCUUUGUCACGUGUGAUCGAGGAACUCGUUCAAUAAUGAAUUUCAAAUAUUAUGAUCAUUCAAAAAUUCAGAAUUUUGAGUCCGCAUCCGGACCGCACCGAGCUAAGGGCUGCAGACGAUAAUGCAGUCAGGACAAACCGCAGGUACCAAUUUGGUUGCCGAAAUUCUGGAAGAUGGCGACAGUUAACGGUUCAAAGCUGAUGCAAUAAUCAUUGCGCUAUUCGCACCACCGAUUCACACCUCUUAUCGAUCAAGGAGGUGGCGCGCUCAACCCACCCUACGUUAUUCCGAUGAACUAUUUUUGCCGCAAGCGGGUGGAUGGCAAUCGAUUUAAACAUCACGAGCUUUUGAGAGGCGUUCGGUGAAGCUAACUGCACAUUGUUAGUACAUAAACUCGAACCAAACUUCAUUCAAAGUUUUCAUAAAUCAGCGAUCCCGAAUCUCCGUAAGUAGUGAGGCUAAUUUGGGAUCGGGGUCAACGGAUUUAAGUCUUCGUUCAAGGCCCUCGAGAUCCACGCGUUCGAUCCAAGUCGGAGGAUCCGUAUCUCGGGGUGGAAGAGGAGCCAGCAAUCUUUCAGCGGCAGCGCAUAUCCCGCACCAAGUCCUGAAGUCGACAGGAACCGGCGACGGGAAUAUUAUCCGGCAGCAUGUGUUUCACCCCGUUUUCGUCUUCCUCGAAGUACCUGUUGAAAGCUCGUCUGAAUAUCAAUUUUCUUCCGGGGGUGACGAAUACGUGCCGACUCAGAGCUAUUCUUAUGGAUUCGUUCGACUUGCCUUCGUUGAAAAUUCCCCUUCGACGGUGUCGCGAUCCAACUGUCUGCCAAGAUGCUUGAGGAUAUCUGCGUCGAUAAAACUAUUCGGUAAAACACGAUCAGCUGGAAGAG